This 379-nucleotide ribosomal RNA is filed under the name uncultured cyanobacterium. Its description in RNAcentral is "bacterial SSU rRNA". It matches the Rfam family "Bacterial small subunit ribosomal RNA", at positions 376 to 770 of the family's 1533-position model. Lineage: Bacteria; Bacillati; Cyanobacteriota. The record is from RNAcentral.
CGCAAGCCUGACGGAGCAAUACCGCGUGAGGGAGGAAGGCCUUUGGGUUGUAAACCUCUUUUCUUAAGGAAGAAGCUCUGACGGUACUUAAGGAAUCAGCAUCGGCUAACUCCGUGCCAGCAGCCGCGGUAAUACGGAGGAUGCAAGCGUUAUCCGGAAUUAUUGGGCGUAAAGCGUCCGCAGGCGGCAUUAUAAGUCUGCUGUCGAAGACCGCAGCUCAACUGCGGAGAGGCAGUGGAAACUGUAAAGCUAGAGUACGGUAGGGGUAGAGGGAAUUCCCAGUGUAGCGGUGAAAUGCGUAGAGAUUGGGAAGAACACCAGUGGCGAAAGCGCUCUACUGGGCCGUAACUGACGCUCAGGGACGAAAGCUAGGGGAGCG